GGAUGUGAGGAAUGCUGAGUGCGCAAGCAUACGGCUCUCUUCAAAACGACUUGCAAACCCUCUCCCUCGAGUACUAUGUAUUCAUACACCACAUAGUAUGUUGUAGAAUGUGAUCAAUGGGCCUCUGUGCCUAUAAUAAUCAUAUACAACUUUCAGCAACGGAUCUCUUGGCUCUCGCAUCGAUGAAGAACGCAGCGAAAUGCGAUAAGUAAUGUGAAUUGCAGAAUUCAGUGAAUCAUCGAAUCUUUGAACGCACCUUGCGCUCCUUGGUAUUCCGAGGAGCAUGCCUGUUUGAGUGUCAUUAAAUUCUCAACCCCUCCAGCUUUUGCGAGCUGUGACGGGGCUUGGAUGUUGGGGGUUUGCGGGCCUGUAGAGGUCGGCUCUCCUGAAAUGCAUUAGCGGAACCGUUUGCAGUCCCGUCACUAGUGUGAUAAUUAUCUACACUGUGAUGAUUGCUCUCUGGCUAGUUCAGCUACUAACUGUCCACUGUUGGACAACACUUAAUGAACUUCUUGACCUCAAAUCAGGUAGGACUACCCGCUGAACUUAAGCAUAUCAAUAAGCGGAGGA
RNAcentral lists this ribosomal RNA (570 nucleotides) under uncultured fungus. Its description in RNAcentral is "eukaryotic LSU rRNA". The stretch from base 148 to 301 matches the Rfam family "5.8S ribosomal RNA". The record is from RNAcentral. Lineage: Eukaryota; Fungi.